AAAUUGAAGAGUUUGAUCAUGGCUCAGAUUGAACGCUGGCGGCAGGCCUAACACAUGCAAGUCGAACGGUAGCACAGAGAGCUUGCUCUCGGGUGACGAGUGGCGGACGGGUGAGUAAUGUCUGGGAAACUGCCUGAUGGAGGGGGAUAACUACUGGAAACGGUAGCUAAUACCGCAUAACGUCGCAAGACCAAAGUGGGGGACCUUCGGGCCUCAUGCCAUCAGAUGUGCCCAGAUGGGAUUAGCUAGUAGGUG
Molecule: ribosomal RNA, 255 nt
Filed under: Klebsiella ornithinolytica
Lineage: Bacteria; Pseudomonadati; Pseudomonadota; Gammaproteobacteria; Enterobacterales; Enterobacteriaceae
Description: Raoultella ornithinolytica partial 16S ribosomal RNA
Rfam family: Bacterial small subunit ribosomal RNA
Source: RNAcentral